GUGGGGAAUAUUGGACAAUGGGCGAAAGCCUGAUCCAGCCAUGCCGCGUGUGUGAAGAAGGUCUUCGGAUUGUAAAGCACUUUAAGUUGGGAGGAAGGGCAGUAAGUUAAUACCUUGCUGUUUUGACGUUACCGACAGAAUAAGCACCGGCUAACUUCGUGCCAGCAGCCGCGGUAAUACGAAGGGUGCAAGCGUUAAUCGGAAUUACUGGGCGUAAAGCGCGCGUAGGUGGUUCAGCAAGUUGGAGGUGAAAUCCCCGGGCUCAACCUGGGAACUGCCUCCAAAACUACUGGGCUAGAGUACGGUAGAGGGUAGUGGAAUUUCCUGUGUAGCGGUGAAAUGCGUAGAUAUAGGAAGGAACACCAGUGGCGAAGGCGACUACCUGGACUGAUACUGACACUGAGGUGCGAAAGCGUGGGGAGCAAACAGGAUUAGAAACCCCGGUAGUCC
Molecule: ribosomal RNA, 450 nt
Filed under: uncultured bacterium
Lineage: Bacteria
Description: bacterial SSU rRNA
Rfam family: Bacterial small subunit ribosomal RNA
Source: RNAcentral